This 348-nucleotide unclassified non-coding RNA is filed under the name soil metagenome. Its description in RNAcentral is "partial contains 5.8S ribosomal RNA, internal transcribed spacer 2, and large subunit ribosomal RNA". The stretch from base 1 to 120 matches the Rfam family "5.8S ribosomal RNA", at positions 35 to 154 of the family's 154-position model. The record is from RNAcentral.
GAUGAAGAACGCAGCAAAAUGCGAUAAGUAAUGUGAAUUGCAGAAUUCAGUGAAUCAUCGAAUCUUUGAACGCACAUUGCGCCCGCUGGUAUUCCGGCGGGCAUGCCUGUUCGAGCGUCAUUUCAACCCUCAAGCCCCCGGGUUUGGUGUUGGGGAUCGGCUCUGCCCUUCUGGGCGGUGCCGCCCCCGAAAUACAUUGGCGGUCUCGCUGCAGCCUCCAUUGCGUAGUAGCUAACACCUCGUAACUGGAACGCGGCGCGGCCAUGCCGUAAAACCCCAACUUCUGAAUGUUGACCUCGGAUCAGGUAGGAAUACCCGCUGAACUUAAGCAUAUCAAUAAGCGGAGGA